Long non-coding RNA from Eleginops maclovinus (Patagonian blennie), 957 nucleotides. RefSeq lists it as uncharacterized. NCBI's taxonomy places the organism in Eukaryota, Metazoa, Chordata, Actinopteri, Perciformes, Eleginopidae. The transcript is spliced from 2 exons. The record is from RefSeq and is a predicted model, not a curated record.
GUAUCAUUCGUUCAUUUGUUUUUCCGAUUUCAAAACCAAAACCAGAAAUCGGAUAACGGUUCGUUUUCUCGUUUUUCCGAUUUCAAAACCAAAACCAGAAAUCGGAUUACGGUUCGUUUUCUCGUUUUUCGUUUUCUCGUUUUUUCGAUUAUGCACCCCCAAACGGAAAAUGGAAAAUGAAACAUUCGGAUAACAAAUCCUGGGAAUGUUAGUUGUCAGGGAAACCGAUCGCGAGCCAACAACUGACUCAUGCCACAACUGAUCUGUAAGGAAACAUGGCUAAUUUGGAGUCUCACUACGAGAUGAUAAAUCAACUCUUUCUGUCGGGGAAAACUCACGCCGAAAUGUCUGAGACAUUGAAGAGUAUGGGAAUUAAGGGGUCCUCGGAGAUGUCGGUGAGGAGAUUCUGUGGCGACGUUGGGCUGAGACGGAAGGGGCACAUCACAGACCAAGAGCUGGAAGAAGCUGUCCUGACAUCUAUUCAAAAGACCGGUCCAACGUACGGACGGAAAUUUAUGACAGGGUACCUGUCAUCUGUGGGGGUGAAAGUGGGUGAAAUAAUAAAUUUGACUGUACACAACAUAGGCAUACUAGUAUUCUGUUGUCCAACGGUGCAACAAAAUGUCCUGUGGUGCGACAAAUUGAAUUGUGAGGGGAAAAGGUAUUUUAAUGAAAAAUGUAUGUAAAAAGUGUUGGAUAGUAUAACAAUGAUAUCAUCACUAUGCAGCUUUAAGGAUGAAAUGAAGAUUCCUUGAGUUUUAUACAAAUUAUAAUGAAUGUAACCCAGACAUUUGGGUUAAGUCUCUAUGUGUACAUCUUAUAGUAUAUAAAUAACAUAAUUCUGAAUUUGUUGGGGGUAUGUUUGAUGUGGAAAUAUAAUUGGGACAAACUAAUAUGCCUUGUGCUUAUCUAUCUUACCUGUCCAACAUUCUCUGAAUUAAAUAAUGGCAUUCUUUA